Long non-coding RNA from Sitophilus oryzae (rice weevil), 641 nucleotides. RefSeq lists it as uncharacterized. The record is from RefSeq and is a predicted model, not a curated record. Lineage: Eukaryota; Metazoa; Arthropoda; Insecta; Coleoptera; Curculionidae. The transcript is spliced from 3 exons.
UAUAGCAAGAUUAGUCUGACGUCAUUGCAUUGAAUAGGUUGGUAGCACCGUUGACGUUGAGACUCUGUUGACAGUUGAUUGUUUCCAAACAAAUAAUUGUCCGGUGUAUUUUUCCAUUAAGAAAGUUUUAAUUUAAAUUAUCAAUAUGGUUAUGGGCUUUGUUCCAGAAUGUAAAACAUUACAGCGAAAAGAAAACUUGUUCUUUUUUUCGUUUCCCAAAAGACCCAGUUCUUCUAAAGAAGUGGAGGUAUACCGAAAUGGAUUUCACUUGUGAGACGUGGAGACAGGAAUCCAAGUCCAUCUUCUUUGAUUUGUUCAUGUUACUUUAGUAAUGGGGACAAAAAAAAUAUAUCAACUUUAUUUGAACAUAAUGAAAACAAGCUAUUUUCGUUCCAAUCUCCAGAGAAAAAGAAGAAAAGGUGAUAAUAAUAACCACUGUUCAUUAUUUUUUUCUUUAUGUUUUUAGAAGUUAAAACUUUUAUAGGGUAUGUAGUGUCAGCUAAUCUGUAAGUGAUAGAAAUCAAAACCUUGUAUAUAUCUAUAACCUCUCUCAGACAUUUGAUGAAAAUAUACCUAUAGACUGUGAACAACUCGGUUCUGAAAAACAACAACCGUCAACGAUUUCUAUUAUUUCACUUCGA